Molecule: ribosomal RNA, 874 nt
Filed under: uncultured bacterium
Lineage: Bacteria
Description: bacterial SSU rRNA
Rfam family: Bacterial small subunit ribosomal RNA
Source: RNAcentral
AGAGUUUGAUCAUGGCUCAGAACGAACGCUGGCGGCAGGCCUAACACAUGCAAGUCGAACGCCGUAGCAAUACGGAGUGGCAGACGGGUGAGUAACGCGUGGGAACAUACCCCUCGGUUCGGAAUAACUCAGGGAAACUUGAGCUAAUACCGGAUACGUCCGAGGUUUAAUCGACCUCGGAGAAAGAUUUAUCGCCGGAGGAUUGGCCCGCGUCUGAUUAGCUUGUUGGUGAGGUAAUGGCUCACCAAGGCGACGAUCAGUAGCUGGUCUGAGAGGAUGAUCAGCCACAUUGGGACUGAGACACGGCCCAAACUCCUACGGGAGGCAGCAGUGGGGAAUAUUGGACAAUGGGCGAAAGCCUGAUCCAGCCAUGCCGCGUGAGUGAUGAAGGCCUUAGGGUUGUAAAGCUCUUUUACCCGGGAAGAUAAUGACGGUACCGGGAGAAUAAGCCCCGGCUAACUUCGUGCCAGCAGCCGCGGUAAUACGAAGGGGGCUAGCGUUGUUCGGAAUUACUGGGCGUAAAGCGCACGUAGGCGGAUCCUUAAGUCAGGGGUGAAAUCCCGAGGCUCAACCUCGGAACUGCCUUUGAUACUGGGGAUAUCGAGUCCGGGAGAGGUGAGUGGAACUGCGAGUGUAGAGGUGAAAUUCGUAGAUAUUCGCAAGAACACCAGUGGCGAAGGCGGCUCACUGGCCCGGUACUGACGCUGAGGUGCGAAAGCGUGGGGAGCAAACAGGAUUAGAUACCCUGGUAGUCCACGCCGUAAACGAUGGAUGCUAGCCGUUAGACAGCUUGCUGUUUAGUGGCGCAGUUAACGCGUUAAGCAUCCCGCCUGGGGAGUACGGUCGCAAGAUUAAAACUCAAAGGAAUUGACGG